This 253-nucleotide ribosomal RNA is filed under the name uncultured bacterium. RNAcentral describes it as "partial 16S ribosomal RNA". It matches the Rfam family "Bacterial small subunit ribosomal RNA", at positions 524 to 776 of the family's 1533-position model. The record is from RNAcentral.
GGCGGAGGAUGCAAGCGUUAUCCGGAAUGAUUGGGCGUAAAGCGUCCGCAGGUGGCAGUUCAAGUCUGCUGUCAAAGACCGGGGCUUAACUUCGGAAAGGCAGUGGAAACUGAACAGCUAGAGUAUGGUAGGGGCAGAGGGAAUUCCUGGUGUAGCGGUGAAAUGCGUAGAGAUCAGGAAGAACAUCGGUGGCGAAGGCGCUCUGCUGGACCAUAACUGACACUCAGGGACGAAAGCUAGGGGAGCGAAUGGG